RNAcentral lists this ribosomal RNA (428 nucleotides) under uncultured archaeon. RNAcentral describes it as "bacterial SSU rRNA". It matches the Rfam family "Archaeal small subunit ribosomal RNA", at positions 474 to 903 of the family's 1478-position model. The record is from RNAcentral.
UACCUGCAGCUCGAGUGGUAAUCGCUAUUAUUGGGCCUAAAGCGUCCGUAGCCGGUUUGGUAAAUAUCUGGGUAAAUCGUGAGGCUUAACUUCACGAAUUUCGGAUAGACUGCCAGACUUGGGAUCGGGGGAGGUCAGAGGUACUCCAGGGGUAGCGGUGAAAUGUUGUAAUCCUUGGAGGACCACCGGUAGCGAAGGCGUCUGACUAGAACGAGUCCGACGGUGAGGGACGAAGCCCUGGGGCGCAAACCGGAUUAGAUACCCGGGUAGUCCAGGGUGUAAACGAUGUGGGCUUUGUAUUGGAGGUCCCACGUGGGCGUCCAGUGCAGAAGAGAAGUUGUUAAGCCCACCGCCUGGGAAGUACGGUCGCAAGGCUGAAACUUAAAGGAAUUGGCGGGGAGCACAGCAACGGGAGGAGCGUGCGGUUU